UUUUUUAUGAAUUUGUUAAUAAUUUAGCUAAGUUCAUGAAUUUACUGACAAGCCUUUCUUUUAUUCUCUUCUCUCCUUUCUUAGGACUCCAGUUGAAUAUAUAGGAUAUUUUCAUUCUAUCUGCCAUGUGUUAUAUGCCUGAUUCUAUGAAUUCAUCUUUUAUUUCUGUAUUCAUUUUAUAUUCUACAUUUUGCACCUGCCAAUUCCACUGUCUUGAGAGUUUGACUGUCUUCCUAUGGUGUCAAGAUGGCUCCUGGAAGCUCCACACUUAGCUGGUCAUUAAAGAUUAUGAUGUCACAGAAAGAUAGAAACCAUCUUGUCUUCAACAGCCUCAUCAACUCCUGGGAAGAUUGCUUAGGCUUGAAAAAUGUAAGAUCCAAGAGGUUAUUAUUUCCUAAUUACAUCAAGAAGAAACCUAGGCCUGAGUAGGCUCUUUGGGGGUUUCAAAGACAUAGCAGGACCCCGUACCAAGAGGAGAGGCUCCCCCCUGAUGUGAUGGUGCAGGCCCAACCCGUGUGUACCUGGAGGAUUGCCACCCCCAUCUGCCUGCCCCUGUACUGGAAGCUGAUUGUCGCUCCCCACCUGCACUCUGGGACACUGCUUUGUGCUGGCCAGUUUUCUAGACCAGCUUUAGCCUGGACAAAUGGGGGAAUUUUCUUUUUUUCCUAUCUGGUGGGCUAAGUUAUACUUUCCCUAAUAAGGUAUGAACUUCAGCCUUGAGGAGAGAGUUUCACUCUGAGUUUGUCUUUCCUUGGAUACUCUCUCUCAUUCCUGGAGUAUCACACAGCAUUUUCAUAUCUGUUAUGAUUAUUCUUUUAUCAUAGAUUGAUGAUUCUUUAUAUUGAGCUUUGGUUGUUUAACUCACCAUGUGGUUUCUGUUUCGACCUACAUUAGUCAUUAGUCAGUGCAAAUUAAAACCACAAAGAGAUACAAUUAUAUAUAUACUUGAAUGGCUAAUCUGUUUUUUAAAAAAGUAUGGACAAUACCAAAUAUUGGUAAAAAUGUAGGGCACCUGGAAUUCUCAUUCACUAUUGGUGGGAAUAUGAAAUAUUAUUAGCACUUUGGGGAAAAAAAGCCUCAAAGAUUCUUAUAAAACUAAGAUACACUUAUUCUAAUAUUCAUCAGUUCUACUCCAAGAGAAAUCAAGACAUAUAUCCACAGAAAGGCUUGUAUAGGAAUGUUCUGAGAUAUUGUACUGAUAAUAGCCAAAGCUGAAAACAAAUGCCCAUCAAUAGGCACAUGGGUAAAUAGACUAUGGUGUAGUAAUUUGAUGGAGUACUACUUAGUGAUAAAAGAACAGAAAACACUGCUUUUGAGCAACAUUGAUGAAUCUCAAAAUCAUACUGAGUGAAAGAAGCCUUAAACAAAAUUUUCAUAUUAUAUGACUCUAUGAGAUUCUAGACCAAGUAAACUAAGGUUUGGCAGGGGGAAAACAGUGGUUGACUCUGUGAAGAAUAGAGAUUAAUUGGGAAGAGGCUUGCAAGAAUGUUCUGGAGUGAUGAAAGUAUUAUUAUACCUCUUGAUAUUCUCUGUGCAAAUACUAAGAAUGAAUCUUUAAAAAACAUGAAUUCAGUUUAUAUAGAUUAUGCAUUUGCCAAAACUUAUUGAAUGGUUCUGUUAAGAUUUGUGCAUUUCAUAGCAGUGCAUUUAACCUAAAAAUGUUUAAAGAAGCAAUGGUGUAAUGCUACAGUGCUUAGAUGAGAAGUAUACUGAUGCCUGCAACCUAUUUUGAAAUUCAUUCAAAAUACAGGUAGAUUGGAUUCCUGGGUGGCGCAGCGGUUUGGCGCCUGCCUUUGGCCCAGGGCGCGAUCCUGGAGACCUGGGAUCGAGUCCCACGUCGGGCUCCCGGUGCAUGGAGCCUGCUUCUCCCUCUGCCUGUGUCUCUGCCCCCUCUCUCUCUUUCUGUGUGACUAUCAUAAAUAAAUAAAAAUUUAAAAAAAAAUACA
Molecule: long non-coding RNA, 1946 nt
Filed under: Vulpes vulpes (red fox)
Lineage: Eukaryota; Metazoa; Chordata; Mammalia; Carnivora; Canidae
Description: lncRNA (ENSVVUG00000021806.1)
Source: RNAcentral